RNAcentral lists this microRNA precursor (83 nucleotides) under Echinops telfairi (small Madagascar hedgehog). RNAcentral's name for it is "miRNA (ENSETEG00000022438.1)". It matches the Rfam family "mir-194 microRNA precursor family". Rfam says of the family: The hairpin precursors (represented here) are predicted based on base pairing and cross-species conservation -- their extents are not known. In this case the mature sequence is excised from the 5' arm of the hairpin. The record is from RNAcentral. Lineage: Eukaryota; Metazoa; Chordata; Mammalia; Afrosoricida; Tenrecidae.
GGUUCCCGUCCCCUGUAACAGCAACUCCAUGUGGAGGUGCUCGCUGGUUCCAGUGGAGUUGCUGUUGCCUGGGGCGAGGGCCA